RNAcentral lists this ribosomal RNA (506 nucleotides) under uncultured Scutellospora. RNAcentral describes it as "SSU rRNA". It matches the Rfam family "Eukaryotic small subunit ribosomal RNA", at positions 569 to 1078 of the family's 1831-position model. The record is from RNAcentral. Lineage: Eukaryota; Fungi; Glomeromycota; Glomeromycetes; Diversisporales; Gigasporaceae.
AGCAGCCGCGGUAAUUCCAGCUCCAAUAGCGUAUAUUAAAGUUGUUGCAGUUAAAAAGCUCGUAGUUGAAUUUCGGGAUUCUACCGUUGGUCGGGCUAUCCAGUCUGUACUAGCGUGUAGAAUUCCUACCUUCUGGGGAACCAUCAUGUUAUUAAUUCAGCGUGGUGGGAAACCAGGACCUUUACCUUGAAAAAAUUAGAGUGUUCAAAGCAGGCUUACGUCUGAAUACGUUAGCAUGGAAUAAUAGAAUAGGACGGUGGUCCUGUUUUGUUGGUUUCUGAAUCACCGUAAUGAUUAAUAGGGAUAGUUGGGGGCAUUAGUAUUCAAUUGUCAGAGGUGAAAUUCUUGGAUUUAUUGAAGACUAACUUCUGCGAAAGCAUUUGCCAAGGAUGUUUUCAUUAAUCAAGAACGAAAGUUAGGGGAUCGAAGACGAUCAGAUACCGUCGUAGUCUUAACCAUAAACUAUGCCGACUAGGGAUCGGACGAUGUUAAAUAUUAUUGACUCG